This 2745-nucleotide long non-coding RNA is filed under the name Ananas comosus (pineapple). RNAcentral describes it as "long non-coding RNA (ACOM_LNC001209)". Lineage: Eukaryota; Viridiplantae; Streptophyta; Magnoliopsida; Poales; Bromeliaceae. The record is from RNAcentral.
UUUAGAUAUUCCCGCAGGGAAGGGACGGGGACUAACUCUUCCCCAUAGUGCAAAACCCUAAUUUUCCCUUCCUCACCCGCCACAUCCCCAAUCCCAUACCCUCUUUGUAUGUUUCGGCAAUAAUGGACACCAAUGUAAUUCCAAAUGAGAUUCCUAUAGGUAUAUGCUCCUUUGUUUUAAAGGAUUUUGCAGUAAUUAAUGGCGACACAACCAUAUGAAAUUCAAUGUGCUUGAGAUGAUAAGGUAGUAUAACUGUGAAUUGGAACAUGAAAUUGGGUUUUUGAGGGUAUUAUAAUAGUUCCUUGUCUCUUUCUUUUUUCUUUGUGUGUGAAAGGCUUGUUUGGACCUGCUUUUUUUUCUUCUUUUUUUUUUUUUUUCAAUUCAGCGGAGUGCUUGGUUAAAAAAGAAGAAGAAAGUUUAGAGCACUUAUUGUAACAGCAAGCAAAAAUGAGAUUCUGAGCAUCAAGAUUCUGAAAAUACAGCAAUUACAAUAACAUACAUCUUGUUUGGUUGGAUGUAGUAGAAAAUGUUGCAAGUAUAAAUAAUUUGUCUGGUUACAUGCAGUUGAGAAGUGCAUUUUUAAAAUUUCAUCAAUUUAUAUGUAUAAUGGCGAGAUUACCUCCAAUAUAAAAAAAAAAAAAAUUUAAAAAAUAAUUAGGAAGGUAAGUUUAUCUUUUAUUUAGAAUUAUUCUUUUCAACUACUGUAGUUGGAACUGCAGUCGUUUGGAUGUAGUUCCAACAGUUGGAUCUCCUCAUGCAGUUUCAACUACAGUAAUUGAAUUCAAAUUUAUCAAACCAAUCGCGAGAGUUAGUUUUGUGUGUAGAAUUGCAGUGCAGUUGCAACUAUAUAGAUCCAAACAGCCCUUAAAUAGACAUUUUAGAGAAUCUUUUGUAGCUCUGGUUGCUUUGGCUUCAGCAUGCAGAUUGUAAAACUCCACAACAGCUUUAUGAAAGAUCUGAAUUAACUUCUAAAAUUUUGUCCCUUUUGAAUUUGCGCCCGGUUGGGAGCUCGUGAGGAGAGAUUUCACCAAGUACGUUAUAAAAAAGCUCUAAUAUGACGCUUCUGUUUUUUCUGUAGAAUGAAGUUGUUGAGGAUACGAUUUAUGUAGUGAUCCGCCUAACAGAACUUAUGCAUUGAACUCUCUCCUUCCUCUUAGUCUCUUUCUUGAUCAUUUAUUCUGUGCUUAUCGUUGUCUCCUUUCCCUCACUCUUGUUAGAAAUGCACUUCAUUUUAUUAUAAUUACUCUCCCCAUUUAUCACCCUUUUCUCAAUGAGAUAUGGAAGCCAACCAAGAAGAUUGUUUAUUGCAUGUGUGUUGGUGCCAACUUUGCUAUCUUUCCAAUUCCUUUUACAACUUGCAGCAAGCAAAUGGUAGAAUAAGAACUGAUACAGUUGGUGUUAUUGGGAUUUUAUGGCAUGGGAAGAGUCAGUGAAACAACUCUUCUGAGAUUCAUCAACAAUGAUUACUGGGGCAAUUCUGAACUAACUGAAUUUGAGGAUAGGAGCAGCUGAAGCAGGAAAUCUUUGCUCUUAUCCUAUUUCAAAUAAUUUCUUGAUGGAUUCAAACCAACGCCAAAUCAUUUGUACGAAUUUCUCUCUUAUUUGAGUAUUGUGCUUGAAGGGAACUAUAAUUAUGCCAUUAGAGAAAUUCUUACUCCUGCUUCCACUGCCUCUUCAUGCAUGCUUCUGUUUGCCUCUAUUCUGGUGUAUUUGAGUAUAUACUCUGUUGAUAUCUGGUUAUUUUGAAAAUGUUGAUCCAACUGAUUUUUUUUUUUUUUGAUAUAUGUUCUUAAAAUGAGAAUGGUUAUUGCCACAACUUGUGAGUUCUGACCUUUCUGCUUGAGUUUGCUGUUUCCGCUCUUCCUAUCCAAAUAUGCUGCCAUGCCAGAGUGCAGCCUGUGAAUUUGAGAAGCUGCUUUGCAGAUAGUGGGAAAUCAUGUAUAUUAAACUAUUGUAGAUAAAGGCAGGACUUGACGGGCCCAAAUAUGCCCUUUAUUGUAUUUGUGAAUAUAAUAUUCUCGAUCGGCUAUUACUGACACCAAUAAAAGAACAUUAUGCGAGUUAGAGUGCCUUCUCAAAAAGAAAAUGAUGCUUGAUCUCAUUAUCUUUCGUUUUUGCGUGACAAGCUCGACUUUUAGAUCCAAAUUCAAAUACUGUAAUUUAUUAGGUAUUAUUAUUACCAUUGUCCAAUUUGAUGUAAGAUGUCAUGUCACAAUUUAGGUGAGAUUUUUGAAAUAGAGAAACAAAAGAGAGAAAAAUUUGGGUGAAUCAACUUUUGGGUCCUAAAUAAAAAUGCUAUUUCCAAUUUUAACUCGAUAGGCGAUUGAAUGCUACAAGUCGUAGAACUAGAUAAUUAUGAUUGAUAGGCGAUUGAAUCCUACGAGUUGUAGAACUAAAGAAUUAUGAUGUUCUCUAUUUGCUUAUUCUAGUUCACAACACAUAAUGAUGUUUGCAUAUGUAUUUGAUUAUUUUAGUGAAUUUUCUAUUGAUGCAGAAUGAGACAUUUUGUUUGACUGAAACUGGAAGCUACUCUCCAACUUAAGGGUUCUUUUGUAAAAAACUGCAUUUUUUGGGUGUUAUGUAUGGGAAGUUCCGAUUUUGCAGGGUCGUCUGCACGUAAAUAGAUGAGUUUGCAUGGAUAUAUAUCGAGAAUACCAUGUUUUUUACGCUAGUUUCUCACCAUUUACUGUUGGUUUUAGUUUUAACUUGAGCAGGACUUGUCCAGAUGGGCGAGAAAAAGGUAAA